This 423-nucleotide ribosomal RNA is filed under the name uncultured bacterium. RNAcentral describes it as "bacterial SSU rRNA". It matches the Rfam family "Bacterial small subunit ribosomal RNA", at positions 207 to 622 of the family's 1533-position model. The record is from RNAcentral.
AAGACCUUGCGCUCUUGGAGCGGCCGAUGCCUGAUUAGCUUGUUGGUAAGGUAAAAGCUUACCAAGGCUUCGAUCAGUAGCUGGUCUGAGAGGACGGCCAGCCACACUGGGACUGAGACACGGCCCAGACUCCUACGGGAGGCAGCAGUGGGGAAUUUUGGACAAUGGGGGCAACCCUGAUCCAGCCAUGCCGCGUGAGUGAAGAAGGCCUUCGGGUUGUAAAGCUCUUUCAGCCGGAACGAAACGGUUACGGUUAAUACCCGUGAUUACUGACGGUACCGGAAGAAGAAGCACCGGCUAACUACGUGCCAGCAGCCGCGGUAAUACGUAGGGUGCGAGCGUUAAUCGGAAUUACUGGGCGUAAAGCGUGCGCAGGUGGUUUUGUAAGUCAGAUGUGAAAGCCCCGGGCUCAACCUGGGAACU